Molecule: ribosomal RNA, 363 nt
Filed under: uncultured bacterium
Lineage: Bacteria
Description: bacterial SSU rRNA
Rfam family: Bacterial small subunit ribosomal RNA
Source: RNAcentral
AACGAACGCUGGCGGCAGGCUUAACACAUGCAAGUCGAACGGGCGUAGCAAUACGUCAGUGGCGGACGGGUGAGUAACACGUGGGAAUAUGCCUUUCGGUUCGGAACAACUCGGGGAAACCCGUGCUAAUUCCGGAUACGCCCUUACGGGGAAAGGAUUUAUCGCCGAAAGAUUAGCCCGCGUUGGAUUAGCUAGUUGGUGAGGUAAAGGCUCACCAAGGCGACGAUCCAUAGCUGGUUUGAGAGAACGACCAGCCACACUGGGACUGAGACACGGCCCAGACUCCUACGGGAGGCAGCAGUGGGGAAUCUUGGACAAUGGGCGCAAGCCUGAUCCAGCCAUGCCGCGUGAGUGAUGAAGGCC